Molecule: ribosomal RNA, 468 nt
Filed under: uncultured bacterium
Lineage: Bacteria
Description: partial 16S ribosomal RNA
Rfam family: Bacterial small subunit ribosomal RNA
Source: RNAcentral
GACGAACGCUGGCGGCGUGCUUAACACAUGCAAGUCGAACGGAAAGGCCCUGCUUUUGUGGGGUGCUCGAGUGGCGAACGGGUGAGUAACACGUGAGUAACCUGCCCUUGACUUUGGGAUAACUUCAGGAAACUGGGGCUAAUACCGGAUAGGAUCUCCUGCUGCAUGGUGGGGAUUGGAAAGUUUCGGCGGUUGGGGCUGGACUCGCGGCUUAUCAGCUUGUUGGUGGGGUAGUGGCUUACCAAGGCUUUGACGGGUAGCCGGCCUGAGAGGGUGACCGGGGACCAUGGGCCUGCGAGACGGCCCAGUCUGCUAUGGGAGGCAGCAGUGGGGAACAUGGCACAACGGGCGCAAGCCUGAGACAGAAACGCCGCGUGCGGGAUGACGUCUUUCUGGUUGUAAACCGCUUUCGCCUGAGACGAAGCGUGAGUGACGGUAAUGGGUAAAGAAGCACCGGCUAACUACGUG